RNAcentral lists this ribosomal RNA (1653 nucleotides) under Lampyridae sp. UPOL RK0374. RNAcentral's name for it is "SSU rRNA". It matches the Rfam family "Eukaryotic small subunit ribosomal RNA", at positions 32 to 1431 of the family's 1831-position model. Lineage: Eukaryota; Metazoa; Arthropoda; Insecta; Coleoptera; Lampyridae. The record is from RNAcentral.
UUGUCUCAAAGAUUAAGCCAUGCAUGUCUCAGUACAAACCGAAAUAAGGUGAAACCGCGAAAGGCUCAUUAUAUCAGUUAUGGUUCAUUAGAUCGUACCCACAUUUACUUGGAUAACUGUGGUAAUUCUAGAGCUAAUACAUGCAUACAGAACUCCGACCGGAGACGGAAGGAGCGCUUUUAUUAGAUCAAAACCAACACGGGCGGCGGAGGCCGGCUUCGUCUCGCGCGUCGUCGCGUUUUCGCCGUCUCACACAUAGCUCGCACGACGAAUCUGAAUAACUUUAUGCCGAUCGCACGGUCACGCACCGGCGACGCAUCUUUCAAAUGUCUGCCUUAUCAACUUUCGAUGGUAGGUUAUGCGCCUACCAUGGUUGUAACGGGUAACGGGGAAUCAGGGUUCGAUUCCGGAGAGGGAGCCUGAGAAACGGCUACCACAUCCAAGGAAGGCAGCAGGCGCGCAAAUUACCCACUCCCGGCACGGGGAGGUAGUGACGAAAAAUAACGAUACGGGACUCAUCCGAGGCCCCGUGAUCGGAAUGAGCACACUUUAAAUCCUUUAACGAGGAUCAAUUGGAGGGCAAGUCUGGUGCCAGCAGCCGCGGUAAUUCCAGCUCCAAUAGCGUAUAUUAAAGUUGCUGCGGUUAAAAAGCUCGUAGUCGAAAUUGUGUCCUCGGCCGCCGGUUCGUCGCUCGCGACGCCAACUGGCGCGCACGCUGGACGUCCAGCCGGUACUACGAACUCGCCUACGGGGUGCUCUUAACCGAGUGUCCAGGCGGGGGCCGGCAACGUUACUUUGAACAAAUUAAAGUGCUUAAAGCAGGCUAAAUUGCGCUCGCAUACACGCGCAUGGAAUAAUCGAAUAGGACCUCCGUUCUAUUUUGUUGGGUUUUUGUGGAACGACAGACGGAGGUAAUGAUCAAUGGGUGCGGAUGGGGGCAUUCGUAUUGCGACGUUAGAGGUGAAAUUCUUGGAUCGUCGCAAGACGGACUUAAGCGAAAGCAUUUGCCAAAAACGCUUUCAUCGAUCAAGAACGAAAGUUAGAGGUUCGAAGGCGAUCAGAUACCGCCCUAGUUCUAACCAUAAACUAUGCCAGCUAGCGAUCCGCCGAAGUUACUUUUAUGACUCGGCGGGCAGCUUCCGGGAAACCAAAGCUUUCGGGUUCCGGGGGAAGUAUGGUUGCAAAGCUGAAACUUAAAGGAAUUGACGGAAGGGCACCACCAGGAGUGGAGCCUGCGGCUUAAUUUGACUCAACACGGGAAACCUCACCAGGCCCGGACACCGGAAGGAUUGACAGAUUGAGAGCUCUUUCUUGAUUCGGUGGGUGGUGGUGCAUGGCCGUUCUUAGUUGGUGGAGCGAUUUGUCUGGUUAAUUCCGAUAACGAACGAGACUCUGUCCUGCUUAAUAGCCGAAAGAACGCACGAAGGCGCACGCGCGGUGGCACGCUACGCGCGUCGUCGUCCGUGUCGUGUCGUCGUCGUUCGCUCACACACAGGCAUCUUGAAGGCCGGCGUUCCCAGCGUGCCUUCCGCGCGGUCAAACGACCCUCGCCGCCGUCCGCCUCGGCGGGCGGCGUUCGUCGCCGUCCGGUCGCUCAGCGGACGCGCCGGAUAGUCGACCGAACUUGAUCGUUUAGAGGAAGUAAAAGUCGUA